Long non-coding RNA from Strongylocentrotus purpuratus (purple sea urchin), 291 nucleotides. RefSeq lists it as uncharacterized. The transcript is spliced from 2 exons. The record is from RefSeq and is a predicted model, not a curated record. NCBI's taxonomy places the organism in Eukaryota, Metazoa, Echinodermata, Echinoidea, Camarodonta, Strongylocentrotidae.
UCUUUUGAACUGUUGGUGCAAUAGACGAGGAGGCGCUGUCGCUUUCUGCUCCGGCCAAGGAACCGGUAAUGGAAUCUAGACUAACCCGCUGAAUCUCACUGCCAACAAACCCGACCAUCGACUGUUUAGGGAUGCGCAAAUACGACCCGAGAGAAGACUAGAAGCUGAUUUGACCAAUUACUGCGCAGUAUUAAAUGUGACGUCACAUCAUGUCAACAGUGGUUUUAUCUGGAUCAAAGAAUAGUUGGAUAACUUGAAAUAAAUGGAUAUAUAUGUAGAAUUAUGAAAUAA